RNAcentral lists this long non-coding RNA (447 nucleotides) under Vigna radiata. RNAcentral's name for it is "long non-coding RNA (VRAD_LNC014052)". Lineage: Eukaryota; Viridiplantae; Streptophyta; Magnoliopsida; Fabales; Fabaceae. The record is from RNAcentral.
GAAUACGCCGCGGUUGCUAGCAGAACCACGACAUAAAUAUAGGACAAUAGACCGCGGUUUGGGGGGAAACCACGGCAUGAAGGUUUUUUAAAAUUUGCGAAAUUGCCAUUUCAUAUUAAUUUUACUUUUUUUUAAUGGGAAUAUGUCGUGGUUCGUUGGACAACGGGUUAAAUUAUAACCGCGGUAGUAUGGUUUAAAUAGGUUAAAAAAAAAUCUUUAUACAGUUUUCUUCUUCACGCGAUCAAUUAUCAGAAAACUUGAACAACUUUCGUCUCCGUCUCCGCCGCGAGCUGCGACCUUUCUUCCGUUAUUGACGCCAGCAUUCCUCCGACCGCCAUUCUUCUCCACCGCCCCUGCUUCUCCGCCGCACCUUUGCUUCUUUGUGCGUCGUUCUUCUCCUGCGAGCUAACCAACCUGGUUUGAUUUCUCCUGCGCCCUUCUUAUGCG